GCAGGAACUCUCCUUCCCAACAAAGGCAGCCAUCAUUUUACAUUCCCUUGUGCUCCUCGAAUUGGGAACACUAUAGGCUGUGAGAAUCCAGGCCAGGCUGACCGGCAGUACCUCCCCUCCACCAAGAUCCCACGGAGAUUUACCCGUAAUCACAUGAUCUAUCCCUCUGACUAGGCUGGCAGCUGGGGCUAAGCAGUGGGGACAGCGCAGAAGGGGCAAGUUUUGCAUUCACUUGGCACCAGAGAGCCACGGACAGUAAAUUCAGUGUUAACUACUCCAUCUGGAAUUGAACCAAGAGCUUCCCUCUGCUCCAGUGCAAAGGCCUGAAGGGGUGAUGCUGAUUUCCUGUCGACCCGUGGGGGUCCCAGGACUCAGCCAGUGCUCUGGGAAGGCUGCCCCUGCAGCUUCCAGGAAGGUACCUCUUAUAGCAUCCCCACUGCCUCUCUGUGACCCGCUGUUUGGGGGCAGGCUGAAUCAUUUUUAUCAUUUAAUAGGUGGGUGGGAAACUUUUGAAUGACUCAGUAGGUACCAUUUUACAUUCAAACUUGCCGUUACAGGUUGUUUCAAUGGUGGCCAUUGGAAACAUUCAGGGCUUCAUAUUUCUUGAUGCAGAUUAGCGAUGCCUCAUACAAAGACCGUGCAUUCACGUGGCCAGCCAUCAGACUAAGGGGCUGAGGGGCCUCAGGAGGUGCUGGCACCAAUUCAGAACCCAGGGGAAGAGGAGAAAGGGCUACACAGUGCCCGCUCCCUGAGCCUUCCUGGGUGGAAAUGGCUCCAGGCUUCAAAAGGUUUUCUUUUUCAUCCAGUCUCCCAGGGGGACCCCCCCUCAUAAUACCUCUUACCCCCAGACUUCUGGUCUGCAUGACUUUGGGCUCUGAGCUCAGGCCUGGGAAGCAAAAACUCACUUCAAGGUUUACAGCUCUGUUUGCCUUUUGGCCUUGUGUGUCCUGGGCCAGCAGCUCUGUCACACGGAGCCCAUUCCUGGGGCUUUAUCUCAGUGCAAUUCCAAAGCCGCAGCCCCACAAGGGGCAGUGCAUGUAGAGCCUUUGAGUAGUCUGUGUGCGAACUUUGUUUGCGACUUCUUGGCUCCUGCUCUGGGAAGCGAAAUGAAAAAUACUAGAGGUGGCAAGUCUCAAGAAUCAAGUACUCCUGCUUGGACUGAUCAUUUAUUUAAGAACAAAUACUUACUACAUUACAUUUAUGUAAACAUUAAGUGCUUACUGUAUACCUAGCACUAUUCUGGGCAUUGUCAAGUCAGGACCCUGAAGAAACAGAGGAAGUGUCCCCUGCCAUUCAGAGACCUAAUAGUCUCUUUGUAGAAACCCUUCAGAAGCAAUGAUGUAACAGACCAGAAAAUGUAACAGACCUUUCAGUGCUCCUCCCUGCUGAUGGAUGGGGGAGAGGGUGGAAGUCCUAUUUCAUGCAUGAGAAGCAAUACUCUUCUGAUUCAUUAAGCUCCUCUCUCCUCGGGGUCAGUAAACCCACUUCUCCUAAACUGCUAGAGCCGCCUUCUCUCUGCCUUAAGCCCCCAUGUGUAUUUAGGGAAAUUUAGCUGAACAAUUCUGAAUAAUGUGUGGUGUGCUCAUCAAAAAGAAAUUAAGUAGCUUUGUAAGAAGCCAAGUACAUUUUCAGGAAUCUACUUAAGUUUCUCAUAAACUUGUUGCAAAAAUACACUUAAACCCAAACUAAGUGAGUACAGGUCAGAACUCAACCAAGCAAAGUUCAAGUAUAUUAUAAACCUGGCAAAUAGCAUUCUGAUAUUCUGUAUAUAAAGAUGAUUUUUUUUUACUUAUUGGUCAGUGCAUUUUACUUCUAUGAUUGCUACUUUUGGGGGGAAAGAUGGGGAAAGAAAGAGAAAUACAGGCAUCUGCAACUGGUAUUUGAAACAGGAAGCAUCCUAAUUAAGAGAAAAUAUCUACAUUAAGAUAAAUGUGUUAUCAAUGCUAAAGUGGCUCUGAGCUCUGAUAUAUUUGAUUUAUUUAUCUUAAUCCAACCAUUCCUAUUGGUCUAGUUGAUUUUCCUUUAAAAAUGUCUGUUACUAUUCCAAGCAGCAGUGAUGUCGUGACCUAAAGUUUUCAAUGAAACGUUUCAGGUAUUCAUCUCAAAAAUGCCAAAGAGAUUCUGGAACGUUUCCUAUUGGGAAAAAUAAAUGUAAAGACCAAACAGAAUGAAUGCAAGUCUCCAACUAGCAGGGUGACCUUAGGCAAGUCUGCCUGCCUCCUCUAGCCUUAGUCUCCUUACUUAUAGCCCAAGGAAGGUGCAUUUCACAGUGUCUCUCAGAUCUUCAUCAACAGCCUUGAACUAGAGGGGGUUCUCUUUGCCACCCAUCCAGGACAAGUUGUCUCUGUCCACAUGAACUUUGUCUUCAUUAUUCAACCACUGUUCAUUGAGCACCUACUGUGGCCCAGGCUGGAUGCUUAGGCAUGGAGGGUACUUUCAGCCCAGUAGAGGACACUGAAAGUUGUGAGAUAAUGGAGAAAGCACACUGAUGAAAAGGCUUCUGGAAUGCUCCAAGAGAGCAUUCAACCAAGACUUCAGAAGGGAAUUGGCUCUGAGUACACAGAGGAGAGGAAGAAGGAAGAGGGGGAAACGGGAGGGAAAGAGAGGGGUGAGGGGUAUCCAGGUGAGGGGCUCAAGCAGAGCAAAUGGCAGGUGGAAGGAUGCUGCCUGGCAAGCACGUGGCACAUUUGAGAGUCUUCAUAGGCAGAGACUGGGUCUGGAUGGGCCCUUUAUGCCACACAAGGAGUUUGAGUUUAUUCGUAAAAAUAGUGAGGAGCCACUGAAGUGGGUAAGCAAAAGGAGGAGCAUAUGAAAACAGUGUCUUCAGAAGACCACUCUUGCAGUAGGUUGGAAUUUCAAUGAGGGUCGGGGGAUGCAGGCAAGACUGGAGGAGGUGAUCAGGGAACCAGUGAGAGGCUGUUGUAAUCCAGCUGACAAAGUUAGCCAGUUACCUAACAUAGGUCAAUGCCAGUAGUCAAAUACAGAAGAGGACAGGGUUGAAAAAUACCCAGGAGGUAGAAUCUUAAAGAGCUAGUAAUAGAUCAUUGAAAGUUGUAAUUGUUCUCCUACACUAUGGAUAGUAUUUUUCAAGCCAUUGAGAAAUGCUAAAUAAUUGUCCAUCAUAUCCUCUCUGCUAGCCUGCAAGCUUGUGAGGUGAGAAGGGACAAUGUCUGUGCCUUUCUUGUCCACCAUUACACCUCUAGGAAUUAGAAUAAUGCCUGAAACAUAAGUGGAUUAAAAACUCAUCCCGGAGUUCCCAUUGUGGCGCAGUGGUUAACGAAUCCGACUAGGAACCAUGAGGUUGCGGGUUCAGUCCCUGCCCUUGCUCAGUGGUGGGUUAACGAUCCGGCGUUGCCGUGAGCUGUGGUGUAGGUUGCAGAGGCGGCUCGGAUCCCGAGUUGCUGUGGCUCUGGUGUAGGCCGGUGGCUACAGCUCCAAUUGGACCCCUAGCCUGGGAACCUCCGUAUGCCGCGGGAGCGGCCCAAGAAAUAGCAACAACAACAACAAAAAAAAGACAAAAGACCGAAAAAAAAAAAAAAA
Molecule: long non-coding RNA, 3540 nt
Filed under: Sus scrofa (pig)
Lineage: Eukaryota; Metazoa; Chordata; Mammalia; Artiodactyla; Suidae
Description: lncRNA (ENSSSCG00015022614.1)
Source: RNAcentral